CACCAUUAGGACAAAUGUCAACAUAGUUGUUCCAGAUAAGCCAUGAGAUUAAAAGUCAUUCCACACUUUGACUAUUUUAGGACAUAGGUUUAUUGCCAAGUUUUCACAUAAAUACAAGCACAGUAACAAGCCCAACCAUGCUUGUAGCUUCAUCCAUUUAUAAAGUGUUACAUAUACACCUACGAAUUAUGGAUUAGAGUUUGUAUCUGUGGAAAAAUCUUUGUAACAAGCUACUAUAGUGCUCAAAAGAACCACUGCAAGCACUUCUUUUCACCUGGUUGAUACUCAGUAAUGUCAACUGUAUGGUCUCUAAAUUUUCUUAACAAGUCCUUCUGAAAUACCUCAGGUUUUCAAUUUUUAGUUUGAAGCUUGACAGUUUUGCUUUGUGGAACACCAAAAAUCUGCAUUUAAAAUAUUCAGUAGCAUUCAAAACAAUCCAAUACUCACUGGAAUGACUCCUUUCAAAAUGACUCCACAACAUAGCUGGUGCCAAAACUACUCAAAGUUAGUGUGUUGCAAAAGACAUGCCAAGUCAAAUGAUCUCUAAAGGCAGUACACAUUUCACUUUAUAAAAGUUUCUUGACCAAUUCUUCCAUGUUAGUUUUAUAUAACACCUUAAAACACAAAUGAGAUUAGUAGAACAAUCAUCCUCCUAAAAUAAAUUCUAAAAUAGGAAUUUUAUAAUUUGGAACUUUGGAGAAAUGUUUAAAACAUUAUGCCAAUAUGUUUAUCCUUUAUCCUUAUGUACAAAGCUACAAGAGUUAAAAUGCAUGACACACUGCAUGGAUUAUGGAAGGCACAACCUAGAAAGAGUUAAUUCAUAAACAUAUACUCCAUACCUUAACUACAUUAAAAAAAAAUCCAAACUGUACAGCAGUAUUUAGCAUAGUGACAGUAUUGUCAUCGAGAAUCACGUGCCUCUGCUUGCUUCUGAGAAUGUAAAAGGCAACAUCUUGGGAUUAGGAAAAUGUGUUGAUCUCGAAGACCUGAUUCUGCUUAGGUGGCAGGGAUACAGCCUUAAACUGUCCCAUCCUUAAGGAACAAUCUAAGGAGGAAAAACAAUAAUCACACAAUUAUCAUUCUUAAUUAGAUUUUAAGAGCCACAACAUUCAAGUAGGACCAAAUGUGGAUAGGUUCCUUGAGAUGUUCUGAAACCACUUCAACACUUGGUCAACUUUUUAAAUUUUUUCCCUCAGAGAAGCCCAGUAGUCUAGUAGUUACUGUUUUCAAGUUUCUGUAAGUCCAUCGCCACCUUAUAGUAUACUGUAUCUAGAUUUCCUAAAACAUUUCAAUCAAAGCAAGGUAGUAAAAAUCUGAUAGGAACACCAAAAGCUAGACCAAUUUCUAUCCUUGGCCCCUAUCUGCUAGCAUAUCCACUGGAAGUUGCUAAGUCUCACAGAGCUUUAGUUUCCUCUACUGUACACAGGCUGGUACCAAGACCUGUUAUGGUGAGUAGUACUUCAUUUGGGAUUUUAGUGAAGGGUAAAUAAAGACCAUCAAGUCUGAGUGAAUUAAAAAUUCCCCCAGUAGAGGUAGGAUUAAUUAGGUAACAAAAUAAUUUUAUAAAUAUACCUGAAAAAUGUUACUGUUGCCAAAAGGAAGACCCAAACUUAAAACUUUCUUUAAAUAAACUAACACCUAGAAAACAAAGGGUGAAAAAAUAUCAGGUCAAAAUAAAAGGGCCAGUGAUUACUAUGAAAAGUAGGAAAAAUGAGUUUAGGACAUCAGAGAAACACAACUCCAAUUCAAGCCUAAAGACCACAUAAUGCUUACUAAUCCACUCAAGAAUGGAGUCAUGAGUAUCUUCUGGAUAAGUACCCCCUUCAACAUAUAAACUGGAACACACUAUACCAUACUACACUACACAAAACCAAGGUCUCAACUUUCAAGGUCAAAUGAUUGACUCCUAGAGUUGUGACCAGCAAAGUGUUGUAUAGUUAGGGGUCUCACCAGUCAAACUAGUCUUUUUCUUGGGAUGUUCAACUUCAAACCACAAUUAUACAGUUACACCAAAUAUAAGACGUGUAAAAAAAGGCUAGCUCAAAAUUGGAAAAUUAAAAAUAAAACCCACAAACCCUCACCUAACUUGAACAUUAAGCACAAAUGUUUAACAUAUACAGCAAGUAAGUAUAUGAAAUCAUAAGGCACUACCUGACAAGGAACUAAGUUUACCUAAACCACCAGCCCAAGGCAUGCCUAAUACAAGAACAGGAUAGCUGCAGUGGAUACUUCGGGGAAACCCAAAGAAGUGCUUGUUAGUACAGGCAGGGAGGCCUCAGCUUCCUCCAUGAAAAAAAGUAUUAAGACACCUCAGUUAAGUAUUGGAUUCCUGCACAAUAGGAGCUUUGUCCUAUAGUUCAUGGACUUUUAUCAAUUUAACAAAUCAUAAAUCCACAUUUGUUUGGUUCCCAACUCUGCUUACUCACUGAAAAACUCCCCAUGUCCUUGAAGAAUGCAAUUUGAUGGGAGAAACAUAGUAUUAGAUAAAAGUUGAAGGAAACAUGAGGGUGUGAAAUUCAACUCUGACUGUAGUUUCUUAGUUGCUUUCUGCCUUGUUUUUUGAGAUCUCACCAGUGAAGAGCCUGCCAAGUAACUAAGCUUUUGUGUCCAGUAGGUCCUAGGGAUACCUCAGGCAUGCCCUAACAUGCCCAUUUUGUUUUGUUUUGUUUUUUUAAUGCGGGCUGCUUACAAUACAAACACUUUACUAAUUACCAUUCAAGCCUCCUUAAUAUUCCCUUUAAAAGAAUCUGACCUGCAUUUUGCUUUUCCUUUUCACUCAAGGUUAUUUUUUUUUAAGGCGAAUUUCUUUUAUUGUCUGCAUAACAAGAUCAGCUUAGAACUGGAACACUUGGCCCUUUCUCUUAUUACCUCCUAGUUCAAAAUGCUUGUAUUUCUUAAUAGCCAGCAUCCUCUUAGAUCUGCAGUUGGGCUCAACACACUCAAGCCUGAGCACAAUCUUCUUUGUAGUUCUAGCCUUUUUUCAGAAAAUUGACUUACAAGUCUGCCCACCACAGCCACUCUGUUUCCUGUCAUAACACCGAUUUCUCUGGACAUACAAAGAGUCCUUGCCCUUCUUGUACUGUGUCACUUUAUGGGGCUGGUACUUGCCACAUAUCUUUCAGAACGUCUGGUGGGUCUUAGGAAUGUUCACCAUGUUAGCAGGAGCCAUAUUGGCACAGAAAGCUUUUGGUUGUUUUUUUAAGAGGGAAGAAAAAACAGCUCAGGCCAGGGACACACUGGUUACUUUUAACCCCAGCGCUCAGGAGGCAAAAGCAGGCAGAAUUCUUUAAGUUUAAGGCUAGUCUAAUCUAUAAAUACUGAGUUGUAGGCCAGCCAGAGAUAAAUAUUGUGUGAGACUCUGUGUCUCAGGAAAGCCUUUAAAGCUAUCAUUUUUAUAUUUACAGUAAGCAAAUAAACAUGAAAGGACAGAAUUUUAAUAUGGCCUUGACUGCCCAGAAUUUAAAUGUGGGCAUGAGAUUAGGAAAUCUGAAUCAAACAGCAAGGCAACAGUCUACUAACAGUCACACCAAAGUCCAGAUCCCUGUCCUAAACAUAUCACACAUACUUAAAGAAAUGUUAAAUAGAAAACAAAGCCUUAAGUCUUUUAGAGGACAGGGGCUCAUUUAAUAAUAGUCCCACCUCAGUCCUCAUGACACUACUUAUAAUACACUCCCCAUCUUUUAGUUUUUUUUUUUUUUUUUUUAAGGUCAAUUUUAAAGUUUGAAAGAAUUCCCAACCCCACCCUCAGAAGCCAGGCUGCAAAUCUCAGCAGCUGCCCUUAGAAGGUAAAAAGCCAUGCCAUUUAAACCAGCAUGGAAAGUCAGUCAUAUGGCAGACAAGAAGCAACAUGGUAGAAAGGAGGCUUUAAAGAAAGAGUAAGGAAGCCCAAAGUCUGUCUCUGAUUCAGACAGACACACACACAGGUUGACCAGUAGCAGAGACAGCCAAAUCCCAUGGUGGUUCCUAGGGACUGGCUCAAUUAUGAUUUAAUGAAAUCUUAGCUUCCUUAAUUUUGUUUUUUGAAAGGGUUUUUCUGUGUAGCUCUGGUUGUCUUGGAACUCACUCUGCAGACCAAGCUGGCCUCGAACUCAGAACCACCUGCCGCUGCCUCUUGAGUUCUGGCAUCAAAGGCAAACAGUAACACUGCCCAGCUAAACUAUGGCUCUAAGUUUCUGAAAUCCUCAUUAAUCGGUACUUGCUUUCCUAUUAAGAAAUGGUUUGUAGGUUUAGCUUUCAGCUUAGUAUAGAUGAAGCACAAAACCAAAAAUCUUUAUUUCUUGAUUGCUUAAAGUUCAAUUUAGUCUUCUGUACCCCACAAGUUUGCUGCUAUGGUUCCCCUGUCCACAGUUACACUCCAAAUAAAAAUUGGUAACAAGCGGGGCAUUGGUGGCACAUGUCUUUACUCCCAGCACUUGGGAGCCAGAGGCAGGUGGGUUUCCGUCAGUUCGAGGCCAGCCUGGUACAAAAACUAGUGCCAGGACAACCUCCAAAGCAAUACAGAGAAAGGCUGUCUCAGAAAAACAAACAAACAAAAAAAAGGUAACAUUGUCAGUGCUUAAAGAGUCAUUUGAUUAUUGGCUACUGUACUGGAACAACACAAAUACUGCCUAUCCACGUCACUGCAGUAACUUCUCCUGGACAGUAAUCUUAUAGAGCACACACACAACAUCGAACCUAAAACCAAGUUUAAAAAGUAUUUAUGUUGCUCACUACAUUUUACUUGUAUAUUGCUACAAAUCAAGCAAUAUAAUAGGGAAUUAGAACAGGACUCAGUAAGACGGUUCGGAAGCAGCUCAGCAAAACCACAUUUGAACCAGCAAUAACCUGAGUGACAUGAAUCAAGCCAGAGGCCCAGGAGAAAGCACUGCUUAAAUAGGAAAAUACAGGCUCACAGGACCUUAGGCCAGGAGAGACAACAUCCGACCUAAACAACCUGCAUUCCAAAAGGAACCACCUUCUACAGAUAUGUACAGUGACAACAUGUGAGCAAGCAGUAAUCAAUUCCAUGUGACUUAAGAGAUAAUUGUGUACGUAGAAAAUAAUGAAAUGAAAAAGUUGUCAUUAGCCCAUUAAGUCUUCUGCAUUGUACUAAAGUAUUAAAGAGUCAGUAAAUUUCAUGUCAAUUCGUGUACCUUUUAAUACAAUCAGCCUGACAAUAUGUUAAGACACAUCAGGUGAUAUUGGAGGAGGAGAUACCCAUCUGGAAGCCAUUAAUAAGAAACAGCUCUGUCUAUUAAUGGUGAAAAAGGAGACAGGCAUUCAUGGGAGUGAAAAGCAGCUCAACUUUAGAUCUAUUGCAGCAGAGCUCCCGAAGGGGAUAGAAAAUGAAAAUCAAGGCAAACAGUCAACAAAAUGUACUAAGGAGGCAUAAAAGAACUGCAGGGUAAGGCCCCAGCUACAGCCUCAAUUUGUGGUGUAACUAAUCUGUCUGGUUUCAUGACUCAUCAGGCUUCUAAGAUCAUGAGGGGAAGAAUGCCAGUGCUCUGUCUAGGGAUUGGGUGAGCCAGUACUAACAAAUGAAAAGGGGACUCAAAUGAGAGUGCUAAAAUAUCUUUUGGUAGGGCUGCAGAGGGAGCAGGAGGGAAAGAGUGAAGUGCAGGGCCCUGUAGAAAACACUAAAAUUCUGUUUAUGUAUUCUAACUUGCGACACUAUAAUUUCAUGAUAUAGCAAGGAUCUCAAGCGUGAGCAUAAAACUCGGUUCAAUUCCCCUGCAGGACAACGCCCACGCACCAGGUUAGCCCUCAAGCCUGCCCAGAAGACUCCCGCCCAUCUCCCAGAAAGCCUCGACUUGCAGAUCACGAGGGGAAAGGGGGAAGGGAUCCUUCCAGUCCCGGGGCGGUCUUUAGAAGACAGGAGGCAGCAGAGAACUCCCAGAAAGGUAUUGCGGCACUCCCCUCCCCCAGCCGAGUAGGGUGCGGCCUUCUCCCCGCCUACUCCACUGCGGCUCCCUUAUUGACUGCUGCUCCCAGCCUCCAAACCGGCCCGGCUGAGCCCCCACUUCCUUCCUCCACUCCCAAGAGUGCGCGAGGCAGGCCCGGCUCAUCUUGCCCCUCGUGAGGCAACAACUCUAGAAGAAACCGCGCUCGC
This 6088-nucleotide long non-coding RNA is filed under the name Cricetulus griseus (Chinese hamster). Its description in RNAcentral is "lncRNA (ENSCGRG00015043205.1)". The record is from RNAcentral. Lineage: Eukaryota; Metazoa; Chordata; Mammalia; Rodentia; Cricetidae.